GGGUCAGUAGGUUGGUCGUGCCACCGGUACGUACUGCUCUCACUGAUUCCUCCUUCCUGAAGAACCGGAAUGCCAUUAAUUUGGUGUUGCGGGGAAACAGGACUGGUACUUUGAAAAAAUUAGAGUGUUUAAAGCAAGCUAACGCUUGAAUACAUUAGCAUGGAAUAAUGAAAUAGGACGAUCGAUCCUAUUUUGUUGGUUUCUAGGAUUGACGUA
RNAcentral lists this ribosomal RNA (216 nucleotides) under Glomeromycotina sp. RNAcentral's name for it is "partial small subunit ribosomal RNA". The stretch from base 40 to 216 matches the Rfam family "Eukaryotic small subunit ribosomal RNA", at positions 686 to 864 of the family's 1831-position model. The record is from RNAcentral. Lineage: Eukaryota; Fungi; Glomeromycota.